CACGUAGGCGGUCUGGUAAGUCGGGUGUGAAAGCCCUGGGCUCAACCCAGGAAGUGCACUCGAAACUGCCAAACUUGAGUACAGGAGAGGGUCGCGGAAUUCCCGGUGUAGAGGUGAAAUUCGUAAAUAUCGGGAGGAACACCAGAGGCGAAGGCGGCGACCUGGACUGAUACUGACGCUGAGGUGCGAAAGCGUGGGGAGCGAACA
This 207-nucleotide ribosomal RNA is filed under the name uncultured bacterium. RNAcentral's name for it is "partial 16S ribosomal RNA". It matches the Rfam family "Bacterial small subunit ribosomal RNA", at positions 568 to 774 of the family's 1533-position model. The record is from RNAcentral.